Molecule: long non-coding RNA, 1112 nt
Organism: Esox lucius (northern pike)
Lineage: Eukaryota; Metazoa; Chordata; Actinopteri; Esociformes; Esocidae
Source: Ensembl
AGUUACAGUAAUCCACUUAGCUUGCCUUCACAUGAAAGAAUGAAUGAGAAUGUUGGAUUCGGUCACGUUCCAAAGCGUAUUUUUUUUUAUAAAUAAAAGUAUUACUCAGAACAACAUUAUUGGGAGGGACACUUUAACCCGUUUCUAAUAUUGAGCGGGACAUGUCUCCCCCGGCUCCUACGCCCUUGCCUGUUCCCAAGAUACAUUUAGUGUAGAAGUGUUCCUGGUUUGACGGUGGAUGGAUCAGUCUUCAGCAGGGUCACAUCAGAGAUGUUCUUUUCCUUGGCUCUUUUGCAUUUACUGACCCCAGAUGCCUCAUCCAGCUCCCCUGUGGGACUCUUUCUUUUACCCUGCUGCUUCUGUGGGAUUAACCUGGGGUCAUUGGAAGCCCAGAUCCUGGAAACCGCUUUGGAUGUCUUGGGCUGAUUCACCUUCUCUGCAAGAAAACGGUCCUUCAGCUGCAGCCAGGGAAGAUAGGACACCUGACCACCUUUUGCACUGUCCUCUACAUGAAGAACAGCACUCUGGGACAGUUGAGUCAGGUUUGGACUCCUCACAGCCUUCUGAACUGAGCUCUGACCAUUACUGAACUCAUUGCUGCCAGACGUAUUCACUGACAUCCCAGCUAGCCUCUUUCUCUCUAAAUGCUGUUUAUAGGUCUUGGUUUGUCUCACCAUCUGUUCGGCUGGAAAACGUAUCUUCAGCAGCCGCCAUGGGAGAUAGGAUGUGACCUGACCAGCAUUUGCACUGUCCUCUCCAUGCUGAACAGCAUUCUGGGACAGUUGAGUCGGGUUUGGACUCCUCACAGCCUUCUGAACAGAGCUCUGACCAUUACUGAACUCAUUGCUGCCAGACAUCUUUUCUGACAUCCCAGCCAGGUUCUUUCUCUCUAAAUGCUGUUUGUAGGUCUUGGUUUGUCUCACCAUCUGUUCGGCUGGAAAACAUAUCUUCAACAGCCGCCAAGGGAGAUAGGAUGUGACCUGAAAUGUGUGGAGAGUCCGUUGAUUUAAGGACUCAAUGCUUAAUGGCAAAGCUGACAUUUAUGUUUAGGUCUUAUGUUACCAAAUAUACCAUGUUUAAACCAUGUUUUGCAGUGUUUGCUUACAUUUACA